Molecule: long non-coding RNA, 340 nt
Organism: Hibiscus syriacus
Lineage: Eukaryota; Viridiplantae; Streptophyta; Magnoliopsida; Malvales; Malvaceae
Exons: 4
Source: RefSeq, a predicted model, not a curated record
ACAGGUUUGAAGAACCGGAAGCACCUGGUUCUAGAUCAUUUUUUACAGAGAUAAUUGCUUCAAUCUCUGAUAUUAAAUUUUCAAAGGACGAAAGAUAUAUUCUAAGUCGUGAUUACAUGACUCUUAAGCUGUGGGACAUCAAUAUGGAUUUAUGUCCAGUUGCAACAUUCCAGGUUCAUGAAUAUUUACGACCUAAGCUGUGUGAUUUGUAUGAAAAUGAUUCAAUCUUUGACAAAUUUGAAUGUUGCCUAAGUGGUGAUGGAUUGCGAGUGGCAACAGGUUCCUACAGCAACCUGUUCCGUGUAUUUGGUUGUGCCCCUGGAAGCACCGAGUCUACAAC